This 26-nucleotide non-coding RNA is filed under the name Homo sapiens (human). Lineage: Eukaryota; Metazoa; Chordata; Mammalia; Primates; Hominidae. The record is from RNAcentral.
UAAUAUUCUAAGUGUCAGAGGUUCCG